CCCUUAGAUGUUCUGGGCCGCACGCGUGCUACACUGAGUGGAUCAGCGGGUCAGGUUGCGCGAAAGUGUUUCCUAAUCUUUAAAUCCGCUCGUGAUGGGGAUUGACGGUUGCAAUUUUCCGUCAUGAACGAGGAAUACCUUGUAAGCGCGGGUCAUCAUCCCGCGCUGAAUACGUCCCUGCCCUUUGUACACACCGCCCGUCGCUCCUACCGAUUGAGUGGUCCGGUGAGGCUUUGGGAUCUGAGCGGAAAGAGCGUUUCGCUGUUUCUGCCCGGAAAACUCAGUCGAACCUUAUCAUUUAGAGGAAGGAGAAGUCGUAACG
Molecule: ribosomal RNA, 322 nt
Filed under: uncultured eukaryote
Lineage: Eukaryota
Description: partial 18S ribosomal RNA
Rfam family: Eukaryotic small subunit ribosomal RNA
Source: RNAcentral